RNAcentral lists this ribosomal RNA (500 nucleotides) under uncultured bacterium. Its description in RNAcentral is "partial 16S ribosomal RNA". It matches the Rfam family "Bacterial small subunit ribosomal RNA", at positions 30 to 523 of the family's 1533-position model. The record is from RNAcentral.
AUUGAACGCUGGCGGCAGGCUUAACACAUGCAAGUCGAGCGGGGGAAGGUAGCUUGCUACCGGACCUAGCGGCGGACGGGUGAGUAAUGCGUCGGAACGUGCCGAGUAGUGGGGGAUAACGCAGCGAAAGUUGUGCUAAUACCGCAUACGUACUGAGGUAGAAAGUGGGGGACCUUCGGGCCUCACGCUAUUCGAGCGGCCGACGUCUGAUUGGCUAGUAGGUGAGGUAAAGGCUCACCUAGGCGACGAUCAGUAGCGGGUCUGAGAGGAUGAUCCGCCACACUGGGACUGAGACACGGCCCAGACUCCUACGGGAGGCAGCAGUGGGGAAUUUUGGACAAUGGGCGAAAGCCUGAUCCAGCCAUGCCGCGUGUCUGAAGAAGGCCUUCGGGUUGUAAAGGACUUUUGUCAGGGAGGAAAUCCCUAGUGCUAAUAACACUGGGGGAUGACAGUACCUGAAGAAUAAGCACCGGCUAACUACGUGCCAGCAGCCGCCGUAA